AACGAACGCUGGCGGCAUGCCUAACACAUGCAAGUCGAACGAGACCUUCGGGUCUAGUGGCGCACGGGUGCGUAACGCGUGGGAAUCUACCCUCAGGUUCGGAAUAACUCAGAGAAAUUUGAGCUAAUACCGGAUGAUGACGUAAGUCCAAAGAUUUAUCGCCUGAGGAUGAGCCCGCUUAGGAUUAGGUAGUUGGUGAGGUAAAGGCUCACCAAGCCGACGAUCCUUAGCUGGUCUGAGAGGAUGAUCAGCCACACUGGGACUGAGACACGGCCCAGACUCCUACGGGAGGCAGCAGUGGGGAAUAUUGGACAAUGGGCGAAAGCCUGAUCCAGCAAUGCCGCGUGAGUGAUGAAGGCCUUAGGGUUGUAAAGCUCUUUUACCCGGGAUGAUAAUGACAGUACCGGGAGAAUAGGCUCCGGCUAACUCCGUG
RNAcentral lists this ribosomal RNA (433 nucleotides) under uncultured bacterium. Its description in RNAcentral is "partial 16S ribosomal RNA". It matches the Rfam family "Bacterial small subunit ribosomal RNA", at positions 29 to 507 of the family's 1533-position model. The record is from RNAcentral.